RNAcentral lists this long non-coding RNA (1211 nucleotides) under Nothobranchius furzeri (turquoise killifish). Its description in RNAcentral is "lncRNA (ENSNFUG00015019555.1)". The record is from RNAcentral. Lineage: Eukaryota; Metazoa; Chordata; Actinopteri; Cyprinodontiformes; Nothobranchiidae.
UAUAUAUAUAUUACUUAAAGCCAAUAUCAAAUGUCUUUGAAUAAGAAAAAUAGUUUAAGAGAAUAAAAUAUUAGUGCAAGAAGUCAAUGUCGACAUGUGGAUGCAGGAUCUGAGGUGGCUCACUUUAAGCAUUUGUAUGGACAUAUGACAGGCAGAAACAGAAAGGUAGGUUAGAUCUGUAACAAAUGUACUGGUGUAUUUUUAUAUGCUUUAUAAGAAAGUUUAGACUAGAUAGAACAUAUGACUAAAAAAAUCUAACUAUGAUUUACUACAAAUCCUGUAAGUUAAGGUAAAACUAAAAUAGAAUAAAUGGGACUCUGAAAAUUUCUGUUUCCAGACCUGUUAAGUAUGGAAAAAUCUGGUGCCAUGUUUUAAAUCUUCUAAAAAUAUGAUGCAAAGAUAAAAUAAAAUAAAAUAAAAAAGAUAGACAUGGAGUUUUCUUUAUACAUAGAAGAAUAAAUAUUUAAGCUAUAUUUUCUCAUGUUCCUUCACAUUUUCGUUGUUUUGAUUGAUUUUUAAUCCCCAUCACAAAUCCAUUCUCCCCUCAGAGACCCAUAGAGUUAGUCACAAUGUGAGGAAUGUUUGCUCCUCAUGUCGAAGAGAAGCUGUUUUGUUGUGUGUCACGGCACAUGUCGCAUUCAUUAGAGUUGCAUUAGAGCAUCGUUAAAAGGACGAUGUUUCUAAUCCUUCCGUCUGCAGGAGCCGGUCCAGCUGCAAACAUGAUGGCUUCCAGGGUUCUGCUCGCCUUCGCUUUGUUCCUGCAGUUGAAUGCUUCAUCCUCCUCAGCUGUAGACUCAUCCAAAUGUGUAGCAAUAUGGACUUUCAAGUUUCCCUGCACAGAACCUGUCAGAGACUUGGUGAACCAGGUGAAGACUUGGAGCACAAAAAAGUGUCACAGUGGUCCAGAGAGGUGCAUGUAUGAGAUUAAGAUAGAGUCCCAAAGAGAACUGGAAGUUACUCACACCUCCUCUCAAACUGGCAAAGUGACCAACAUGAACUUUGUGUUUGGCUCUACACCAAAUCCUUUCUGCAAAAUCAAAGCUAUCACAAGAUCUCAGAACAGCACUAAUCCCAAUGACUACUGCCUCCUCUACAGCCUCAUAGAUGCAAGCAGAGUGACCCAGGCUCCAGGCUACGAGAUCUGCAACGAGAACAUGUGUCCCUCUAAGUCAUCAUCAGCAUCCUGCAACAGCAAAGAUGUGCCUGUGUGA